This 46-nucleotide ribosomal RNA is filed under the name Trypethelium eluteriae. Its description in RNAcentral is "partial 28S rRNA". The record is from RNAcentral. Lineage: Eukaryota; Fungi; Ascomycota; Dothideomycetes; Trypetheliales; Trypetheliaceae.
GGAUCAGGUAGGAAUACCCGCUGAACUUAAGCAUAUCAUAGCCGGA